CAGCCGCCGCGGGAAUACGAAGGGGGCUAGCGUUGCUCGGAAUGACUGGGCGUAAAGGGCGCGUAGGCGGAUGGCACAGUCAGAUGUGAAAUUCCCGGGCUUAACCUGGGGGCUGCAUUUGAUACGUGUUGUCUAGAGUGAGGAAGAGGGUCGUGGAAUUCCCAGUGUAGAGGUGAAAUUCGUAGAUAUUGGGAAGAACACCGGUGGCGAAGGCGGCGACCUGGUCCUUUACUGACGCUGAGGCGCGAAAGCGUGAGGAGCAAACAGGAUUAGAUACCCGUGUAGUCCCUGUCUCUUAUAC
RNAcentral lists this ribosomal RNA (301 nucleotides) under uncultured bacterium. RNAcentral's name for it is "partial 16S ribosomal RNA". It matches the Rfam family "Bacterial small subunit ribosomal RNA", at positions 509 to 807 of the family's 1533-position model. The record is from RNAcentral.